UCCUACGGGAGGCAGCAGUGGGGAAUAUUGGACAAUGGGGGAAACCCUGAUCCAGCAAUGCCGCGUGUGUGAUGAAGGCCCUAGGGUUGUAAAGCACUUUCACUGGUGAAGAUGAUGACGGUAACCAGAGAAGAAGCCCCGGCUAACUUCGUGCCAGCAGCCGCGGUAAUACGAAGGGGGCGAGCGUUGUUCGGAAUUACUGGGCGUAAAGGGAGCGCAGGCGGUUCAUUAAGUUAGGCGUGAAAGCCCCGGGCUCAACCUGGGAACUGCGCUUAAUACUGAUGAACUAGAAAACAGGAGAGGGUAGUGGAAUUUCCAGUGUAGAGGUGAAAUUCGUAGAUAUUGGAAAGAACACCGGUGGCGAAAGCGGCUACCUGGCCUGAUUUUGACGCUGAGGCUCGAAAGCGUGGGGAGCAAACAGGACUAGAUACCCUGGUAGUCCACGCCGUAAACGAUGACAGCUAGAUGUCGGGGGGUUGCCCCUCGGUGUCGCCGCUAACGCAUUAAGCUGUCCGCCUGGGAAGUACGGUCGCAAGAUUAAAACUCAAAUGAAUUGACGG
Molecule: ribosomal RNA, 560 nt
Filed under: uncultured bacterium
Lineage: Bacteria
Description: bacterial SSU rRNA
Rfam family: Bacterial small subunit ribosomal RNA
Source: RNAcentral